UACGGAGGGGGCUAGCGUUGUUCGGAAUUACUGGGCGUAAAGCGCACGUAGGCGGAUCAGUUAGUCGGGGGUGAAAUCCCGGGGCUCAACCCCGGUACUGCCUUCGAUACUACUGGUCUGGAGUCCGAGAGAGGUGAGUGGAAUUCCGAGUGUAGAGGUGAAAUUCGUAGAUAUUCGGAGGAACACCAGUGGCGAAGGCGGCUCACUGGCUCGGUACUGACGCUGAGGUGCGAAAGCGUGGGGAGCAAACAGG
Molecule: ribosomal RNA, 253 nt
Filed under: uncultured bacterium
Lineage: Bacteria
Description: partial 16S ribosomal RNA
Rfam family: Bacterial small subunit ribosomal RNA
Source: RNAcentral